AANNCAGCGCUGCUACCAUGCAGUCGACGGUGAACACGGAGCUUGCUCUGUGGGAUCAGUGGCGAACGGGUGAGUAACACGUGAGCAACCUGCCCCUGACUCUGGGAUAAGCGCUGGAAACGGCGUCUAAUACUGGAUAUGUGACGUGAUCGCAUGGUCUGCGUCUGGAAAGAAUUUCGGUUGGGGAUGGGCUCGCGGCCUAUCAGCUUGUUGGUGAGGUAAUGGCUCACCAAGGCGUCGACGGGUAGCCGGCCUGAGAGGGUGACCGGCCACACUGGGACUGAGACACGGCCCAGACUCCUACGGGAGGCAGCAGUGGGGAAUAUUGCACAAUGGGCGCAAGCCUGAUGCAGCAACGCCGCGUGAGGGAUGACGGCCUUCGGGUUGUAAACCUCUUUUAGCAGGGAAGAAGCGAAAGUGACGGUACCUGCAGAAAAAGCGCCGGCUAACUACGUGCCAGCAGCCGCGGUAAUACGUAGGGCGCAAGCGUUAUCCGGAAUUAUUGGGCGUAAAGAGCUCGUAGGCGGUUUGUCGCGUCUGCUGUGAAAUCCGGAGGCUCAACCUCCGGCCUGCAGUGGGUACGGGCAGACUAGAGUGCGGUAGGGGAGAUUGGAAUUCCUGGUGUAGCGGUGGAAUGCGCAGAUAUCAGGAGGAACACCGAUGGCGAAGGCAGAUCUCUGGGCCGUAACUGACGCUGAGGAGCGAAAGGGUGGGGAGCAAACAGGCUUAGAUACCCUGGUAGUCCACCCCGUAAACGUUGGGAACUAGUUGUGGGGUCCAUUCCACGGAUUCCGUGACGCAGCUAACGCAUUAAGUUCCCCGCCUGGGGGAGUACGGCCGCAAGGCUAAAACUCAAAGGAAUUGACGGGGACCCCGCACAAGCGGCGGAGCAUGCGGAUUAAUUCGAUGCAACGCGAAGAACCUUACCAAGGCUUGACAUAUACGAGAACGGGCCCAGAAAUGGUCAACUCUUUGGACACUCGUAAACAGGUGGUGCAUGGGUUGUCGUCAGCUCGUGUCGUGAGAUGUUGGGUUAAGUCCCGCAACGAGCGCAACCCUCGUUCUAUGUUGCCAGCACGUAAUGGUGGGAACUCAUGGGAUACUGCCCGGGGUCAACUCGGAGNAAGNUGGGGGAUGACGUCCAAUCAUCAUGCCCCUUAUUGUCUNNCUNCACGCAUGCCUACCAUGNCGNNUACAAAGGCUGCAAUAACCGGCCGAAGGNNGGAA
RNAcentral lists this ribosomal RNA (1227 nucleotides) under Actinomycetota bacterium. Its description in RNAcentral is "bacterial SSU rRNA". It matches the Rfam family "Bacterial small subunit ribosomal RNA", at positions 38 to 1271 of the family's 1533-position model. Lineage: Bacteria; Bacillati; Actinomycetota. The record is from RNAcentral.